Molecule: non-coding RNA, 4876 nt
Organism: Chiloscyllium plagiosum (whitespotted bambooshark)
Lineage: Eukaryota; Metazoa; Chordata; Chondrichthyes; Orectolobiformes; Hemiscylliidae
Source: RefSeq, a predicted model, not a curated record
CAGUCCUGGCGACUGAGCGGCACAAAUAACUUUUGAAGUGGUGAGUGACUGAGUGGAGCGAGAAGGCAAGCAAUAGUUUUCAGCCAAACCAAUGCCAAACAAAGGAAUAUACCUUCACGCAUUUGGGUAGGCUUUAGCACAGCGUUGGAAGUAAUCAUCUUGAAAAGACGACCCAGGUUCUUCGAUUCGGUUACCUGGUUAAGUAACAAAAUUAUUGGAAUCUUGCUUCCCCUGGAUGCCAUUAAAAUCAACUUACUCAGAGAGAUCAUGGCACAUACCUGGGACUGGAACCGAACCACCCUGGGCUAGAGGCAAAGAUAGUAGCAUUGUACCGCAAGAACUGUCCAGCAGCUCAGUUACCAGCACAGUGACAUUACCAACACGUCACUGCCUCUCUCUUUGGCUGUCAUUCAUUUCUAUUCUCGUGAUAAAUUCAACUGGAAAUUAUUGCACAGAGUUCUAACACAAUGUUGAAUUCAAUGGCGUGAGCUAAAUUAAGUAAAUGUAACUGAUUCAGUGUUCUUAAUUCACCCACCCAACCUUUCCUCAUCGAAUAUUUUUGAAUCUUUCAGCUGUUACCUUCUUCAGUUUUCAGCCUCCUUCUAUUUUCAUGUCCUAAUCAGCCACUAGGAGGUAUAGGAGAACAUCACCAUUGACUCACUUUUGGAGCACCCCCUAUUUUCAGGGCCUACUGGGAAUGGUUGCAACAGCAACAAUUAGUUGCAUUUAUAUAGUGCCUAUCUUGUAGUAGAAUUUCCAAAGGCAUUUUACAGGUCCAAUCAUUCAAUACAAUUGGACACUAACCCACACAAAGCAAUAUGAGGACAAGUGACCAAUAGCUUCAUCCAAGAAGCAGGUUUGAAGGUGAGUCUUUGAGGAAGAGAGAGAGAGAGGUGAAGUGUUUUAAAGAUGCAAUUUUGGAACUGAAAGCCGUGUAACUAUAGGUCCAGCCAUUAAUGGCAGAGCCAAGAAAAUUAGGGGUGCUUGAGAGGCCAGCCUGCAAGAAUACAGAGGCGAGGCUACGGGUGGAACUUUCUAUGGGAAAAGAGGAGGCUAAAGAAAUGCACAGCACCUUUGUGAGUUUAGGACAAUGAUAAGAAACAGGCAAAAUUGAACAAGCUACCAACAUUGCACUUCGCCUGAUCUCCCUUUCUAGUGAAGUCAAUGGGAAAGAAAUGCAAGCUGAUGUAAAAUAGACAGCUCCUCAACAUUUUCAUUUCUCAUUGAUUAAAUGUGGUCAUUGCCAACAAGUACUGAAUUUAUUCUCUGUCCCAAAGAAUAUGUGGUGAGCUGCCAUUUUGAAAUGCUGCAGUCUGUGAGAUGAAUUCCCACAGUGUUGUUAGCUGAGUAAAUUUGGCAUAGCAAUGAUAAAGGAACGGUGAUAGAGUUUCAAGUUACGAUGGUGCGUAACUUGGAGUGGUAUUUGCUGGUGGUAGUAUUCCCAUGCAGCCUUUGUCACUUUAGAUAGUAGACACCAUGGAUUGUGAGAUUCUCUUAAAGAAGCCUUGUUUAUUCCCUAUCACAAAGCAAAUUAAAAUGUCCCCAUUCUUUGAAUAGUCACAAAACACACGAUGUAGGAGCAGGAGUAGGCCAUUUGCCCUUGACCCUCCUCCACUAUUUGAAAAGAGCAUGCCUGAUCCAGUUUGACUUGAAUUCCCCUUUCCUUGAUUCCCUGGCAGAUCAAAAUUCUAACUUUAACCUGAAUAUAUUCCAUGUCCUGUCUUCAUUACUCUCAGGAGUAGGGAAUUCAAAGAUUAACAACUUUUUGAGAACAGGAAUACCUUCUCAUUGCUUUCUUAGUCCUUUAUUUUAUAAUUGUAACACUUAGUUCCAGUUUCCCUGGAAAGGGAAAAUAUUUUUUCAGUAUUUACUCUGUCACUUUUCUUUAGAGUUUUAUGUGUUUCAGCCGGUUUGCCACUCAUUCUUCUAAACUCCAAUGAAUAUAGUGUCAACCUGCUGAACAUUUCCUUAUAUGUCAGCCCCUUCUUUCCAAGAGUCCUACUGAAUCAUGUCCGAUUUGCCUCCAAUACAAGUAUUUCCCUCUUAAUGAAGGUGACCAAAAUGGUAACAGUACUCUCAGUGUGGUCUGACCAAAAGACUUGUACAAUUCUAGCAAGACUUAUCUACUUUUAUACUCUGUUCUUAUUGCCAUGAUGUUGAGGUGCUGGUGUUGGACUGGGGUGGACAAAGUCAAAGGUCACAUGACACCAGGUCAUAGUCCAACAGGUUUAGUUGAAAUCACAAGCUUUCAAAAUCACCUGACAAAGGGGCAGUGCUCUUAAAGCUUGUGAUUCUCAUUGUAAUAAAGGUUUAUCGCAGGGGAUCUCUCUCAAUUGCUGUGUGCUUACUGCAGUAGGAAGCUGCUGGGCUGGUCAGAGAUACUCCUUAACAAAAAAAAUUGUAAAUCAGUAAAUGUUUUAACUUCAACCAGAAAUCAUGAAAUGUUUCAGUAUAUAUUUAUCAAUGAGCCCUGCUGCAAUUUACUAAUUUGAAGAUAAUUGUCUGUCAAAAAUAUGUAAGAGCACUUUCUGUGAAUUGUUUUGAAAUGCGAUCAUUAUUGUUUUGUAGAAAGAGAAAACACUUGGUUCAAUCCCCAGCCAAGUUUAUAUUAAUUGACAUUCGAGGUUUUAGAUGAUGAAAUUCAGCCCAGGUUCUAGCUCCAAAUGCAGUGACUCUGUUGCAAAGUGUGCACGUGUAGAUUUCAAAAUGGAUAGGAUUGAGUUUGGCUGUGAUCUGUCUCCUAGGAGAAUAGAAAUGGAUGCGUAUUGAUUAAGUUCACAGUGAACACUUAGAAAUCUGUUGGUACCUGUGGGGCCGUAUGCCACCUGGGUCAGCAGUUUCAAUCAAAGGAGAUAGUCUCGUGGUAGGGCAGGAACAGCUUAUUGAGUUUAAGUGCAUGCAAUCAAAGUUAAAUAACCUGUUUAAGUAUUAAAUGCAUGGAAUAGAGAAUAGGUAGCCAGUUUACCGUGUUCAGAUGCAUGAAAUAGAGACUUAUUAAUGAGAAAUUGGGAUAAACAUAAGAGUAGUUGUUCAACAAAUAUAAAAGUAACAACAACUAAUGACUUGAAUGAAUAUAUUGAAAUCUACACCCUAACAUUUUCUGAAGAGGCUACAGCUAGAAUUACAAAAAAUAAUAAGGAGGAAUAGAACUAGAUUAAUAUGGAUAUAACACUUCAGGAAGCUAUGCUAAUAGUCAACAAUCUCAGUCAAAGCAAGCAGACAUAAAAUAACUACUAUAUGGGGCAAAGAACUAAAACAGGAAUCAACAGUCCACAAAGUAUUUUGAAAACAAAGAUAUCUGGUUUACAUGUCGUGAUUAAGGUAAACAGGGUAAUGCUUAGCAUUAGCUGCAGCAAAUCUAAAGAAUUGCUAUUUACAGGACUGAAUUGGAGUACUGUAUGUAGUGUUGCUUAUCAUUUUAUAGGAAGGAUAUGAGUACCCUUGAUAGGUUGGAAGAUGAUGUGAAGAAAUUAAGUUAUGGAGAUAGGUUAACAGAGUCUGACUUGUUUACACAGGAAAAGGGAAACCUUCUCAUAGAAUUGAAUGCAAAAAUGUUCUGAAAUUUUUGUGAGUGCUAUUGGAGUUGACAGCAACAAAAAAAAAGAAAAUUCACUGGGGCUUCUGUAGACUAAAAUGAAAUUGAAAAAUAAAAAGAGCUCUAACUUAACUAUUUCAUACAAUAUAUAGAUUUGAAUUAUAUUAUCACUGAAGAAAUGCCAUAAAAGGUCUUCUGAGACAACUAGUUCAUGCUUGAAUUUCAAAAUAUGGCAGUUUAGAGCAACCAAAAGAGGAAGGCAUCAUGGGCUAGUUUGCCACUUCCUGUUUCUAACCAUUCCGAGGUUUCAAAUUGUGAAUUAACAAAAUGAAAGCUUGCAUGUUUUGCUCUGUUAAUUAAUGGCAUUGAUUAUAUAGAAAGUUAAAAAUGUAGCACUCUUUUUCUUGCAUAAAAUCAGCAUCAAAACAUGUCUUUGUUACAAAAUAAUACAUAGUUCAUUCUUCCAAGUACAGUGAUGUUUGUUUUGCAUCGUAUUAAUAAUACCUUAAAUGUAAAAUCACUUAUAAAAGUUUAUUGUAUUUGUGUGAUGAUGUUGCUCCUUUAACAAAGUUAUGUUGUCCUUGGCGUUUUCCAGAAGGGGUUGGAAAAAGGCAGAGGUUUCGAUUUGUCUGGGAUUAGGCCACUUUGAAUAUGGCUAACAGAUGCUGCCUAAGGCAACAAUCAGGAAAAGGGCUUUUUUUUAAAAAAAACAAAUGUACAAUGCAACUGGAGUGGCCAGUUCUCCCAGUUCAGGGAUUUUUCUAGUUUGGUUUAGUUUUAAUGGGGGACCCAGAGAAGUUGCUGGAGUGAAAGUGGUUCCAUGCUUUAGCAAAUGAUCCCUAGCUGGUUCUCUCUGCCACCUCUCUAUCCUGUAAGAACCUACGUUUGAAUUGACCUUUUGGCCAAGGGGUGUGUUUAAGGGGAUGUUGCACAAAAACAGAACAGCUCUUUGUUGAGUUGCGGGGGAUAUUGGGUCAAUUGGGUUUUCAAAUCAUUAUUGUUCUAAAUUCUGUUUUCUUUUAUUUGUGUUUCUGUUGGUGGUGUGCAAAUAAAUUCUGUUUUACUUGAAGCCAAGUGGUUUGAUCAGCUGCAUCACUCCUGAGAUAUCACCUUACAGCUGCCUGAAACAAGGAGAAAAGUUAGGGUCCAGGUUAACUUCUUAAAAUGUUUUGAGGGGGUCUGGCCUGGUCCAUAAAAUUUGUUCAAAAUUACCUACAUAUUGUACUAAUGUUUACCUCUGUUACAUGAUUGUAAUAAUGUAGAUGUAAAGAAAAUUCAUGUUAUCUAUUGAGUUAUCCACUAUAUCUUAUUGUUUGAAUAAAUAUUUUACUUUUUAAACUA